GCAUUGGUGGUUCAGUGGUAGAAUUCUCGCCUGCCACGCGGGUGACCCGGGUUCGAUUCCCGGCCAAUGCA
Molecule: transfer RNA, 71 nt
Filed under: Lytechinus variegatus (green sea urchin)
Lineage: Eukaryota; Metazoa; Echinodermata; Echinoidea; Temnopleuroida; Toxopneustidae
Description: tRNA-Gly
Rfam family: tRNA
About the family: Transfer RNA (tRNA) molecules are approximately 80 nucleotides in length.
Source: RNAcentral